This is a long non-coding RNA of Anthonomus grandis grandis, 316 nucleotides long. RefSeq lists it as uncharacterized. The record is from RefSeq and is a predicted model, not a curated record. The transcript has 2 exons. Lineage: Eukaryota; Metazoa; Arthropoda; Insecta; Coleoptera; Curculionidae.
CUUACUAUUAAGAUACCAGAUUAUUUAGAAUGAAACUACUUCAGAUUUUUCUAUUUGUUCUUUUUGCGCUAUGUAUUAUUUUCGGAAGUAGUGAAGCGAGUUGGUUGAAGAAAAAGCUUAAAAAAUUGGAAAAGGAUGUUCGACGAGUUAGAGACAGAGCGAGAGAAAACAUGGAUGUUGUAGCUGGUUACACAGGGGUCGCAGCUGCAGCCGGCUUACUUCCGGGAAGACGAUAAUUUUUAAAAACACGAACAAGCUCUAAAUGUUCAGAUAAUAUUUGUGUACAUGUGUAUUAAAAACAUAAGAUUUUAAUUGA